GGGAGUGUAGCUCAGUGGCACAGUGUCUGCCUCAAAAGCAUGAGUCCCUGAGUUCAAUUCCCAGUACCA
RNAcentral lists this transfer RNA (69 nucleotides) under Heterocephalus glaber (naked mole-rat). It matches the Rfam family "tRNA". From Rfam's summary of the family: Transfer RNA (tRNA) molecules are approximately 80 nucleotides in length. Their secondary structure includes four short double-helical elements and three loops (D, anti-codon, and T loops). The record is from Rfam by way of RNAcentral. Lineage: Eukaryota; Metazoa; Chordata; Mammalia; Rodentia; Bathyergidae.